This is a long non-coding RNA of Vicia villosa (hairy vetch), 584 nucleotides long. RefSeq lists it as uncharacterized. The record is from RefSeq and is a predicted model, not a curated record. The transcript has 3 exons. Lineage: Eukaryota; Viridiplantae; Streptophyta; Magnoliopsida; Fabales; Fabaceae.
CAGUAAUAUGGAUACAUGGGCAGGUUAUUCCCUUUUGCAGGCUUUGUUUAUCAAAGAGCAUAAUGCAGUAUGUGACAUGCUAAAAAACACUUUCUUGAUUUUGAUGAUGAGCAACUCUAUACGUAUGCAACAUUGGUGACUUCAACAGUCAUUGCGAAAAUCCAUACAAUCGAUUGGACCGUAGAGCCCUUAAAAUGGACACAUUGCUUGCAGGAAUGCGAGGAAAUUGGUGUGAAUUAUUGGGGAAGUCAUUCAAGGAAAAAUUCAGGCAUUAUUGGGGAAGUCAUUUAGUUAUAUGAUGUUAGAUUUUGUUGACAGUUGAUUGUGAAAUGGUGGAUUCAGUUAGUGAUGUUAAUGAAAGUUAGUUGCAAUUAGAUUUUAGAAAUCGAAAGUUGUUAGUGAGUUUAUGAUUAGUAGAAGAGGGUUCGGGACUGUUGGCUUUUCUGGUUUAGAGGCUGGGUCAAAAAAGUUAUGCCAUUUUGUUUUGGAUGCUUAGAAACUGAUAGGGGCUGAGUUCAUUUGUAUGAAUGUGCAGGGCUGAACAUGGAACUGUUAUGUUAGUCAAAGAAAUGUUUUAGUCUAAA